UCACCUCUCAAGCCUGGCUUGCUGUUGGACUCGAGGUCUUGUUUUGGGCCAAGACCAGUCCUAAAGAUAAUGUCGGCGUCUGUGAGGACCCCAGUACACUGAGCUUUUAUAGCACGUACUAGGCGGGAGUCCAGACCCGUUACCUAUAUUUUCUCUUAA
RNAcentral lists this unclassified non-coding RNA (159 nucleotides) under uncultured Herpotrichiellaceae. Its description in RNAcentral is "sequence contains ITS2". The record is from RNAcentral. Lineage: Eukaryota; Fungi; Ascomycota; Eurotiomycetes; Chaetothyriales; Herpotrichiellaceae.